GGCGGACUGGCGUAAUGGUUAACGCGCCAGUUUCCGGUGUUUACACUUGACACCAAGCUGGAGAUUUCUGGGUUCGAGUCCCAGGUUCGUCG
Transfer RNA from Laccaria amethystina LaAM-08-1, 92 nucleotides. It matches the Rfam family "tRNA". Rfam says of the family: Transfer RNA (tRNA) molecules are approximately 80 nucleotides in length. Their secondary structure includes four short double-helical elements and three loops (D, anti-codon, and T loops). The record is from Rfam. NCBI's taxonomy places the organism in Eukaryota, Fungi, Basidiomycota, Agaricomycetes, Agaricales, Hydnangiaceae.